This 74-nucleotide transfer RNA is filed under the name Chlorobiota bacterium. RNAcentral describes it as "tRNA-Cys". It matches the Rfam family "tRNA". Rfam says of the family: Transfer RNA (tRNA) molecules are approximately 80 nucleotides in length. Lineage: Bacteria; Pseudomonadati; Chlorobiota. The record is from RNAcentral.
GGCACCUUGGCCGAGUGGCUAGGCAGAGGUCUGCAAAACCUCGUACAGCGGUUCGAAUCCGCUAGGUGCCUCCA